RNAcentral lists this long non-coding RNA (895 nucleotides) under Capra hircus (goat). RNAcentral's name for it is "lncRNA (ENSCHIG00000008279.1)". Lineage: Eukaryota; Metazoa; Chordata; Mammalia; Artiodactyla; Bovidae. The record is from RNAcentral.
CCAAUAUUUGACCAUAAUCAUCAUCUUCCCAUCUAGGGGUAAGCUAAUCUGAGACUGGAAAGGUGUACAACAGGCCUCAAACAUCUAGAGCCACACACAUGUUAUUGGAUUCAGAGAGACUGAGCAUGGGUAGGUUGGCUAUUAGUACACCCAUUGUACAGCUGAGGAAACUGAGGCCCUCAGAAGGUAACUAUCAAACCAAUGCAGUCAACACUGUGGUGGCAGGACACAAACAUAGGUGUUCUGAUUCUAAAUUCUAUGCAUCCCUCCUCUCACCCUAGACCACACAUUCAGAACCAGGGUAUAGUCUUCAAAAGGCAUGGGAAAGAUGAAGAGGAGACAGGUCUGGGGAAAAGGAAUCGCCAGAAGGUCUCCAGUAUAUUCAAUACUUAUGGGGUUCAUUUCAUUAAGAGUCUGAUUCUGAAGAUAAAAAGGAACAAAUGGAUAAUCUUUAAACAUCUCCCUCACAAAUACAUGAUUUGUCUCCUCUUCAGAGAGCUAGGAUUUUUUCAAACUGGAGGAGUAGGAUGGUGCGUGGAGGUGCUUAAAGACAAGAAGAAAGAGAAUCAAUAUUAUCUUUCUGUAACCAUAAACACAAAGUAGCCCAGAGAAAAGGCACCGACUCCUGAAGGCUCCAUAAACCCUCUAGAGCUUAAAGGGGAACACAAAAGAAGAAGCCGUCACUUCAAGAAGACCCUGAGACAUCUGUGAGUGUUUUCCCAGAGAGCAAGAUUUUCCUCAGGCCAGCAAGACAAUCAGCCUCAAACAUUUACCUUUGUGUUGUGUAAAAGGGUCCCUUGAUCAUGAAGACGCAGAGUUGGGGUUCACCAGCAUGUCUUGCUGAGUGCUGAAAACAAAUAAAACAUGAUAUUAAAAAAAUAAACAUUAAUUAUUU